Molecule: long non-coding RNA, 497 nt
Organism: Lycium ferocissimum
Lineage: Eukaryota; Viridiplantae; Streptophyta; Magnoliopsida; Solanales; Solanaceae
Exons: 2
Source: RefSeq, a predicted model, not a curated record
CCAUUAGCCAAGGCACUUGACAUGUUCUAUCUUUAUUGUUCAGAGUAAAGAUACUAGAACACAAACUUCCUAUAUAAUCUCAACAAUAGUUAGUAACAAGUCCUACACAACAUUGAUAUUACAUAAGGGGUCUUGGUAGAAUUAUUAAAGGUAGGGUAAAGGAUAAAAUAUGAUAAAUAAAUAUUAAACAAAGCAAAAUGAGAAAGAAAAAUAAGGCAACAAUGCAACCACACAAAAUCAAUCCUUACAUAAAAUGGGACUUUUCAUAAUGACAUAAUAAUGAAUUUAAUACGAUACAAUAAAAUUUAAGUAACAAUCACAACAAAUACUAUAUUCAAAAUAGCAAUACGAUAUAUUAGCGCUGUUUCAAUUUGUCUGUCUUACUUUCCUUUUUAAUCUAUUUUAAAAAAUGCCAUUUGCUAUAUUUAGUCGCUCCUUACACUCAACACCGCACAUGGCAUAUUUACGACCACUAGAUUCAAAGAACAUUUUGGUAU